UGUUUCGGCUAGGGGGUCAUCCCGACUUACCAACCCGAUGCAAACUACGAAUACCGAAGAAUGUUAUCACGGGAGACACACGGCGGGUGCUAACGUCCGUCGUGAAGAGGGAAACAACCCAGACCGCCAGCUAAGGUCCCAAAGUCAUGGUUAAGUGGGAAACGAUGUGGGAAGGCACAGACAGCCAGGAUGUUGGCUUAGAAGCAGCCAUCAUUUAAAGAAAGCGUAAUAGCUCACUGGUCGAGUCGGCCUGCGCGGAAGAUGUAACGGGGCUAAACCAUGCACCGAAGCUGCGGCAGCGACACUAUGUGUUGUUGGGUAGGGGAGCGUUCUGUAAGCCUGCGAAGGUGUGCUGUGAGGCAUGCUGGAGGUAUCAGAAGUGCGAAUGCUGACAUAAGUAACGAUAAAGCGGGUGAAAAGCCCGCUCGCCGGAAGACCAAGGGUUCCUGUCCAACGUUAAUCGGGGCAGGGUGAGUCGACCCCUAAGGCGAGGCCGAAAGGCGUAGUCGAUGGGAAACAGGUUAAUAUUCCUGUACUUGGUGUUACUGCGAAGGGGGGACGGAGAAGGCUAUGUUAGCCGGGCGACGGUUGUCCCGGUUUAAGCAUGUAGGCUGGUUAUCCAGGCAAAUCCGGAUAAUC
Molecule: ribosomal RNA, 639 nt
Filed under: Klebsiella pneumoniae
Lineage: Bacteria; Pseudomonadati; Pseudomonadota; Gammaproteobacteria; Enterobacterales; Enterobacteriaceae
Description: partial 23S ribosomal RNA
Rfam family: Bacterial large subunit ribosomal RNA
Source: RNAcentral